AGUCGAGCGAACGGACGAGAAGCUUGCUUCUCUGAUGUUAGCGGCGGACGGGUGAGUAACACGUGGAUAACCUACCUAUAAGACUGGGAUAACUUCGGGAAACCGGAGCUAAUACCGGAUAAUAUUUUGAACCGCAUGGUUCAAAAGUGAAAGACGGUCUUGCUGUCACUUAUAGAUGGAUCCGCGCUGCAUUAGCUAGUUGGUAAGGUAACGGCUUACCAAGGCAACGAUGCAUAGCCGACCUGAGAGGGUGAUCGGCCACACUGGAACUGAGACACGGUCCAGACUCCUACGGGAGGCAGCAGUAGGGAAUCUUCCGCAAUGGGCGAAAGCCUGACGGAGCAACGCCGCGUGAGUGAUGAAGGUCUUCGGAUCGUAAAACUCUGUUAUUAGGGAAGAACAUAUGUGUAAGUAACUGUGCACAUCUUGACGGUACCUAAUCAGAAAGCCACGGCUAACUACGUGCCAGCAGCCGCGGUAAUACGUAGGUGGCAAGCGUUAUCCGGAAUUAUUGGGCGUAAAGCGCGCGUAGGCGGUUUUUUAAGUCUGAUGUGAAAGCCCACGGCUCAACCGUGGAGGGUCAUUGGAAACUGGAAAACUUGAGUGCAGAAGAGGAAAGUGGAAUUCCAUGUGUAGCGGUGAAAUGCGCAGAGAUAUGGAGGAACACCAGUGGCGAAGGCGACUUUCUGGUCUGCAACUGACGCUGAUGUGCGAAAGCGUGGGGAUCAAACAGGAUUAG
This 739-nucleotide ribosomal RNA is filed under the name uncultured Staphylococcus sp. RNAcentral describes it as "bacterial SSU rRNA". It matches the Rfam family "Bacterial small subunit ribosomal RNA", at positions 60 to 781 of the family's 1533-position model. Lineage: Bacteria; Bacillati; Bacillota; Bacilli; Caryophanales; Staphylococcaceae. The record is from RNAcentral.